GAUGAACGCUGGCGGCGUGCCUAAUACAUGCAAGUCGAGCGAACGGACGAGGAUUUUGCUUUUCUUAUGUGACCGGCGGACGGGUGAGUACCACGAGUAUACCCUACCUAUAAGACUGGGAUAACUUCGGGAAAGCGGAUCUAACACCGGUUAAUAUGUUGAACCUCAUGGUUCAAAAGUGAAAGCCGUUCUUGCUGUCACUUAGACAUGUAUCCUCGUUGCAUGAGUUAGUUGGUAAGGUAAAGGCUUACCAAGGCAACGAUGCAUAGCCGACCUGAGAGGGUGAUCGGCCACACUGGAACUGAGACACGGUCCAGACUCCUACGGGAGGCAGCAGUAGGGAAUAUUGCGCAAUGGGCGAAAGCCUGACGGAGCAACGCCGCGUGAGUGAUGAAGGUCUUCGGAUCGUAAAACUCUGUAAGUAGGGAAGAAGAUAUGUGAGAGUAAAUCUGCAUAUCUUGACGGUACCUACUCAGAAAGCCACGGCUAACUACGUG
This 497-nucleotide ribosomal RNA is filed under the name uncultured bacterium. RNAcentral's name for it is "partial 16S ribosomal RNA". It matches the Rfam family "Bacterial small subunit ribosomal RNA", at positions 28 to 507 of the family's 1533-position model. The record is from RNAcentral.